ACCUGGGGCCAAUUAAAAUCCUUCCAGAAAGCAGUGGAGACAGCUAGGUUGACUGGGACACCUGAAGUCAAUCAGGGGCUGGCUGAAACUAGUUAACCUCCCAGUUAGUCAGGUGGACACACAUGUCAGGAGCUGUGGGAAGAAGUUGCGCUGUUGGAGAGACUGAGCAGCACACAUCAUAUCAGGCACAAGGAAGGAGGCCCUGAGGUGUGAAGAUGGUCUUAAUUACCUUGAAGUGCUGUCCUCCCUCUGCUGCAGCACCCACCAGGCCCUUGGACCACUAAAUUCACACUUCUGCAAGUUCCCAUUAAGCACUUCAGAGAUCAACUGGGCACAGCAGCAGUUGACAGAUACAGCAGAAGUAGAGAGCAAACAUGAAAAGAAGAAUGCAGGAAAGACACAGAUGAGGAUCCUAUAAACUUUAGAAUACAGAUGCCUAAUCUCAGCAUACUACUAAAGUUCCAAACUCCAGAGUCUGCAUAAGGGAUCCAAGUACCUCAAUGGACUGUAGAUUGUGGACUUUCUUCAUAUGAAAAACAUCAAUAUGAAGAGAUAAUUUUCACCCAGUUACUCUUCCUCCCUACAACAGCAUAUUGGAAGAGUCAGUUCCUAUUUGUCCAGAUUAUUCUGGCUCUCUCAUGUUGUUCCUCACUUUAUGUUGUAAGUUCCACUGAACAUAGCUUGUAUGCUUUCUACUGUUGAGCAAAAAUACGUGCAAUCCCCAAUGGUAUCAACUGUGAUGUAAAUAAGAUUUUUGGAACAGCCUUGCAGCAAUUCUCCAAAAGAUAAAAGCGUGUGUAUGCACCACACACACACCCCCCCACGCUUGGUGAUAUAGAGGCCAUAAACCCAAAGAUCAAGUCCUAUUCUAGGAGACAAGCGAGAGGUAGUAGCUUCGUAGGUCUGCAUGUUCACAUCACAAACAGAAUGCAUAGUUUGUCCGGUUUGAUAUCCCAUGCUUGAAAGGCCUAAGUACUGAAACAGCAAGGGUUUGCUAAAGUUACAAGCAGAGUCAUAAUGGGAAGCUUAUCAGUAACUGCCCAUAAUCCCUCAGGUUCAUGAGCAUCAAACUGACUCUAAUUAAAGUAAAAUUUGAAGGAAAGUUACAUUCUUUGAACCAAGGACCUCCUUGUAAUCCUUUAAGUAUUUUGCCAUUUCUCACCACACAUAUCUAAAGGAUUCAUAGGAAUGAUACUGUCAGUGAAAUAAUCCAUUGUGAUAUCGGUUACAGUGGACUUGUUCAAGUGUGCGAAUGCAUAAGAAACAGAAAGUCAACUAUUUCCAUUCUAGGUCCAGUCAUCUUAUUCCGUAUCACCCCCUGGCCCCAUUAGUGAUGUUGGCUUUAUCUACUCAUCUGUCAGCUUCUCAAACAAGCCCCUCCAUACCAUGUCAUGUCCCUAUGCAAAGAAUGCCCUUCCCAAGCUCAUCUACAAGGCAUGGACUCAGCUACCUUCAUAACAUUCAAGUUCCUCCAAAGGCCUACCUCUCUCAGCAUGCCUGCAGAAAACAUGACAACUGACAAUGAUGAGUUUGAGGUGUAAUUCUGGGGAAAUUUACAUUUCCUAUUGUAUUAAAAAUAGGAAAUACGCUCCCUUCCCCUCUAUUUGUGUUUUUGCUGCCACUGACAUUUCAGUCAGGAGUAUGAUGGUGCAACCAGACAGCUGUGUCAUCAAAAUCCCAGUACAGACAAAACCACACUUUUGCCAGUACACGCUGUAUAUACGCUAAGUGUGCUUUCCCAGCAUAGGAUAUCAGUGUACCCUAAAUUGGCAAAACACUUCUAAUGUAGACCUGACAUAGCAUAGUAGGGUAGUGUUAGAUUAUUUCCCAUCGCCCAUAUAUGUACAUUCCAUGUUUAAAACAAAGAAAGUUUUGACUUAAAUUACAAGCACUAUAAAAAUCUAUCCAGUACCUACAAGAGCAAAGCUGUGUUUCUUUCAUAUCAUAUCACAUCAUAACCACCAUUAAACAGUCUGGAACUUCACUGGCUAUUUCAUUGAUCCAUGAGGCAGAAAACAGCUUAGUUCUUCAGCAACUAUCUUGGCUCUGCAGUACUGACAGCUGUAAACUUUGUCCUCUCAGAGUACUGAGCAGAUAUCAGUGAAGACAGCAAAUAUAUGUGAAGUGGAAAGGUUUGGGACGGUUUCAUUUUAAUUUUUGAAGUAGAGUCUCUUCCUACAUUCCCCUGAAUUAAGGGAUGGGGCAGAUCCAAAUUGAAAAUACUUGAGAGAGAAUACACAAGUUAUUUUGCCAGUUGGCAUGUAGUUCUGCAGUUGCACAGUGAGUUUAGCCAAUUGCUCACACAUUUUUGUUGUGCAUCAAAAGGCAAAACAACUGCAAGACGGGGGUUUUUUUGCCCACACACAGCUCCUUACUCAGCAAAAAACCUUUUAUUUCACCCAACUUAGUCUGCUGGAGAAGUAAGAGUCUGGCUCCCUUACAGAUCACUAUCUGCUUCCAAGGCUUGAAGAAAUAGAUGAAGAAUCCUGCAAACUACAGCCAGGCCUUCAAAUUAAUGUACAUCCCAAUGACCAAAUCAAAGUCACUGGUUAGUACAGCUGCAGAAGGCUUCCUUUGACAUGUCAAUUUAUGAAGUAGCUGGAUCCCCACCACACUUUUGCACAGCUUCACAUGCUGCUGUUGCCACUAGUCCCCUUCCUCCCCCAUUUCUCAGACCUGAUAUUUGUUGAGGGUAAAGGCAUGCUUUUAAGAUGUUUCUAACGUUUAGAGUGGGCUAGCUCAGACCAAGAAAUUAGAGAUGGAGGUGAGCCAGCUAGGACAAAAGGCUCCUCACUUGCAUGCUGGAUGCUUCACUCUAGCCUUCACAUUCAAGCCACAUUACCCCUAGUACAGAGUAUGGGGGAAAGUGGUCCAGAGUCUCACACUGCUCCCCAAGGUCUCCAGAUAGUAAAGACUGAGUUAAAACAUUUUCUUGAUAUGAGUUUUUUUUGUUUAGGACAGAUGCAAAUGACCUUGCUUGAAAAGUGGGGUGAGA
This is a long non-coding RNA of Mauremys reevesii (Reeves's turtle), 2995 nucleotides long. RefSeq lists it as uncharacterized. The transcript is spliced from 4 exons. Lineage: Eukaryota; Metazoa; Chordata; Testudines; Geoemydidae. The record is from RefSeq and is a predicted model, not a curated record.